Molecule: ribosomal RNA, 117 nt
Organism: Sugiyamaella lignohabitans
Lineage: Eukaryota; Fungi; Ascomycota; Dipodascomycetes; Dipodascales; Trichomonascaceae
Source: RefSeq, a predicted model, not a curated record
ACGACCAUAUCUCGAGUACAGCAAGAUUUCCCGUCCGAUCAAUCAUACUUAAGCCUCGGAGAGCCUUAACCAGUAGUGCCGUGGGAGACCAGGCGUGAACAGAGGGUGUUGUAGCUU